RNAcentral lists this ribosomal RNA (317 nucleotides) under uncultured eukaryote. RNAcentral describes it as "partial 18S ribosomal RNA". It matches the Rfam family "Eukaryotic small subunit ribosomal RNA", at positions 1470 to 1796 of the family's 1831-position model. The record is from RNAcentral.
CCCUUAGAUGUCCUGGGCCGCACGCGUGCUACACUGACACUUACACCGAGUUUUUCCAAUGCCGAAAGGCCAUUGGUAAUCAGCAAUAAGUGUCGUGAUGGGGAUAGAUCUUUGGAAUUAUUGAUCUUGAACGAGGAAUGCCUAGUAAUCGUAGGUCAUCAGCCUGCGAUGAUUACGUCCCUGCCCUUUGUACACACCGCCCGUCGCUCCUACCGAUUGGGUGCUCCGGUGAAUUGUUUGGACUGCUGUCAGUCUUUUAGGCUGUUGGCGAGAAGCUCUGUGAACCUUAGCACCUAGAGGAAGGAGAAGUCGUAACA